GCCUGGCUGGCUCAGUGAGGAGAGCAUCUGACUCUUGAUCUCAGGGUUGUGGAGUUCAAGCCCCACACUGGGCA
This 74-nucleotide transfer RNA is filed under the name Mustela putorius furo (domestic ferret). It matches the Rfam family "tRNA". Rfam says of the family: Transfer RNA (tRNA) molecules are approximately 80 nucleotides in length. Their secondary structure includes four short double-helical elements and three loops (D, anti-codon, and T loops). Lineage: Eukaryota; Metazoa; Chordata; Mammalia; Carnivora; Mustelidae. The record is from Rfam by way of RNAcentral.